GCCAAUUCAAUGGCGUCUUGAGGAUAAUUUCCAGGGACGCCGGAACUGGGGGGGGGCAGGAGGGGCAGCCGCCCCCAUUGCCCUUUACCAGGAGGGGCAAGGGGGGGCAAAGGUGCCCUUUCAAUUUAAAGGAUUGCCUUGGCGAAAUAGCGAAUUGUCAGAAAUGUUAGUGCGAUUCUUUUACGAAUUUGCUUCAGAAAAUGCAAGAAAUGCAGUCAUCGAGCUUCAAGAAUAGCACAAUCGCCUGGCGGAGAACCCCCUCACACCCCUAUCAUCCAAUAAAUAGAAAACAUGAUUAGGCGAAGUUCAACUCCCGAUGUUUUGCAAACAUCUCUUAGUAUACGGUAUAUCAAUUCAAAGGUGCCCUUUCACGAAAAUCUGCCCCCCCCCCCUUGCCUUCACAUUGUUCCGGCGUCCCUGAUAAUUUCUUUGUUAUUGUUUAAGCUAGAUUCUCGUAAAAAGUAGUGUCUUGCAAACUUUUUGUUGACCUCUUUCUAUUUUCGCUGUUUUUUUUCGAUCAGUAACUUGGAAACUUCUUGAACAUUUAACGUUGCGAACCCUUUUUAUUUUUUAUUGAAAUAACCCGACGGCUUCAAGAUACCGAGAAUACCCUUACGCGUUUUGACCAAUUACGAACGAGAAUAGACUUUGAAUAUUAAUGAUUCAAAUAAUCGAUGAGUUAGCAUACUUUGUGUCUUGUGACUGACUCCCAUCAGAAAUGCCAACGACAUCAGUUCCACAUCGUCUUUUAUACGGAAAAUCCCCGUGGCCAUAAAUAACAAUGACAUCAUAGUUUCCCGUAUGUUGUAAUUGCCC
Non-coding RNA from Paramuricea clavata, 816 nucleotides. Lineage: Eukaryota; Metazoa; Cnidaria; Anthozoa; Malacalcyonacea; Plexauridae. The record is from the annotation of a GenBank genome assembly.